CUCGGAGCCGCCCCGCUGCAUGCUGUGGGGAGACACGGUCGCGAUAAUAAAUGAUAGAGGAUACAAUGACUUUGCUGUCUCUGCUGGGUCGGAUCAUGCGUUACUUCUUGCUCAGACCGGAGACCCUGUUCUUGCUGUGCAUCAGCCUGGCCCUGUGGAGUUAUUUCUUCCACACGGAUGAGGUGAAAACCAUUGUUAAGUCCAGCAGGGAUGCGGUGAAGAUGGUGAAGGGCAAGGUGGCCGAGAUCAUGCAGAAUGACAGGCUCGGGGGUUUAGACGUGCUGGACGCUGAGUUCUCCAAGACCUGGGAGUUCAAGAGCCACAACGUGGCUGUCUACUCCAUCCAAGGCCGCAGGGAUCACAUGGAGGACAGGUUCGAAGUAAUCACCGACCUGGUGAACAAGACUCACCCCUCCAUCUUCGGGAUAUUUGAUGGGCACGGAGGAGAGGCAAGUGCUCAGCUGGAAAUAACCAAUAAUUCAACAACACCAAAAAAAAAAAGGGGGGUGCGGGAGGGAGGAUGGUCCAAGGCAAGGCGUGGAUGUGUUCUCACCCACCAGGUUUGUGUGGUUGUCUUGUACAUUGUGGGGAGGGGAUUUCCUUGCUUUUUGUCUCUGAGAAAGGGCUGUGUAAUCCUCCCUUCCCUUUAUCCCUCCUUACCCCUUCCACUCUCAGCACGGCACAAAUGUGCCCGUACCCCCUUUGCCCUUUGCAGUAGUAGAGGUUUAAUUGAAGGCAAGGCUGCUGGAGGUGGCUCUGACGUGCGUGGAAUAACGAUGAUGAGCACAAACUCCCCGGAGUCAUCUUUUGUUACAGCCAAGUGUGCUGUGAUGUGAUUUUGGCAGCGGGCUGGCUGCUCCCCCGGACACAGCCGGGCUCAUCGGCUGAGGUGGAACAGCAGCGCUGCUGGAGGAUGCUAAAGUGUGCAAAAUGUGCUCUGGGUAAUUCCCUGUCCAGGGAGCCGAGCACA
Zonotrichia albicollis (white-throated sparrow) is the source of this 970-nucleotide non-coding RNA. The record is from RefSeq and is a predicted model, not a curated record. Lineage: Eukaryota; Metazoa; Chordata; Aves; Passeriformes; Passerellidae.